GGGCGUAAGAGAGUGCAGGCGGUUUUCGUAAGUCUGAUGUGAAAGACCUUCGGCUUAACCGGAGAAGUGCAUCGGAAACUGGAUAACUUGAGUGCAGAAGAGGGUAGUGGAACGUCCAUGUGUAGCGGUGGAAUGCGUAGAUAUAUGGAAGAACACCAGUGGCGAAGGCGGCUACCUGGUCUGCAACUGACGCUGAGACUCGAAAGCAUGGGUAGCGAGCAGGAUUAGAUACCCCUGGUAG
Molecule: ribosomal RNA, 241 nt
Filed under: uncultured bacterium
Lineage: Bacteria
Description: partial 16S ribosomal RNA
Rfam family: Bacterial small subunit ribosomal RNA
Source: RNAcentral